AGAUUGAACGCUGGCGGCAUGCCUAACACAUGCAAGUCGAACGGGAGUAGCAAUACUCUAGUGGCGGACGGGUGAGGAAUACGUAGGAAUUUGCCCUUAAGUGGGGGAUAACCCGGGGAAACCCGGAUUAAUACCGCAUGACCUCGAAAGAGCAAAGUGGGGGAUCGCAAGACCUCACGCUUUUGGAGAAGCCUACGUCAGAUUAGCUAGUUGGUGAGGUAAUGGCUCACCAAGGCGACGAUCCGUAACUGGUCUGAGAGGAUGAUCAGUCACACCGGAACUGAGACACGGUCCGGACUCCUACGGGAGGCAGCAGUGGGGAAUAGUUGGACAAGUGGGCGACAAGCCUAG
This 351-nucleotide ribosomal RNA is filed under the name uncultured soil bacterium. Its description in RNAcentral is "bacterial SSU rRNA". It matches the Rfam family "Bacterial small subunit ribosomal RNA", at positions 26 to 386 of the family's 1533-position model. The record is from RNAcentral.